UUUACGGGUUUUCCCAGGUUACAGUAAUAGCUAUGAUUAGCUCACUGUAGUCGGGCGUCCGGGUAGUCUUUAAACAUGAAAAGUACUUGCUGGUCGACUCCUCUUACGAUGUGAAGUGGACAAGUACAUACCUGAUUAAAAACUCAUGCAAGUAACGGACUUUAAUCUCUCCAUACACAGAACUUGAUUUAACUAAUCAAGUGGUGGCACUAUGAGCAAUUCAAUAUGUGGACUACUGUCAGGGACACAGAAGCACAGUGUUCCGCUGAAGAAAGCCGACAUCCAGGUGUCCAUCCACGGAUUUAUCGCCAAUGUGAAGUCGGACCUCCAUUACGUGAACGACACUGACGAGAACAUGGAGACCGAGUUCGUGUUUCCACUGGAUACGGAUUCGGCGGUCUACAAGUUUGAGGCCGAGAUAGACAAGAGGACUAUAGUAGCAGAGAUUCAGGAAAAAUCUCAGGCUAAACAGACGUACCAGGAUGCCGUAGAUUCGGGUUAUACUGCUAUGUACAUGGGAGAAGAUGAUAAUGCUGGCGACAUCUUUCGGAUGCAGCUUGGGAAUCUUCCUGCCAAGACAGCAGCCAAGCUGACUUUUGCUUACACACGAGAACUGGACUUGAGUUCCGAUAAUACAGGAACGUUUAUGCUUCCAAUAGUUCUCAAUCCAAGAUAUGCACCCAAAUGCACAGAAGAAUCCAAGUCAGAGGACUCCUUGGAUACUACAAAGACACUUACAUCUCAAUCCGACAUCGGUAUGACGUAUUAUCCAGACUUCACAAUGAACGUGGAAAUUGUUGUUGCUGGGGGUAAAAAUCUGAUGGAGUCCGGAAAUAAGAUGGAAAUCGAUGUACUGGCCGAUAUAAUUGAGAAAAAGAUAACAUCAUCAAGAAAGCUUGAACAUGGUUCUGAUUUUUCAAUGGUAUUGCGUUACAAAGGGUUUGAAAAGCCAAAAGCAGUGAUUGAGGAAGGAAUUAAAGAUAGUGAAAAUGGGUUUAUGUCGUCGGAUGUACUGAUGGUCAACUUUUCCCCUGAAUUCAAGGAUCUGGAUACCGACAUGCCUUGUGAAUUUGUGUUUAUCGUCGACCGGUCUGGGUCAAUGAUGGGAACUCGGAUUGAGAAAGCGAAAGAAGCCUUAUUGUUGCUGUUAAAAAGUCUUCCUCUAAACUGCAAGUUCAACGUUGUGAGUUUUGGAUCAAGUUUUUCAACUUUGUUUCCAACGAGCGUGGUGUAUAACGAGGAGAACUUAGAGAAGGCUCUGAAUUUACAGAAAAGUAUGGAUGCAGAUAUGGGAGGAACGGAAAUAUUGGAACCACUUCAAAAUGUCUUCAAGCAUGAACCCUCAGGUUCCUAUGCAAGACAAGUUUUCUUGCUUACGGACGGAGGAGUUUGGAAUGUAACUGUAAUAGUUGAUUUAGUGAAAAAACAAAAGAACACACGAGUGUUUACAUUCGGGAUUGGGGACGGUUGUUCCACAGAAUUAAUCAGGGAGGUUGCCAAAGCCAGCAAAGGGAAGGCAACAUUUGUGAAAGAUACUGAUCGACUGCAAUCCAAGGUCAUGUCUGUGAUGAAGAACAGUGUGCAGUGUGGAAUAACAGACGCCACCUUGACAUGGAAGCUCCCUAAAGGUUGCUCUGUUAUCAAUGCUCCGGAAAAAGUCCCGCCGGUUUUUCAAGGAGAGGCACUCAUUUUAUAUGGAAUCAUAUCUGGUGAUGUUUCAAAGAAUUCUUUAGGCAAAGGUUCAAUGAAGUUGACCGGUAAUGCAGGCAGUAAAAGGGUAGAAUACAGCAUGGAAUUUGUAUUGAGUCGCAGUAAAACAAACAUCGCUGAGGAAACUUGUCCUCUUCAUAGGCUAGCUGCUAAAUCCAGACUCUCAGAGAUGGAAAUGAACGAUUCUCAAGAAGGUGCUAUGGUAGCACUAAGCACUGCGGCUAAUGUUACAUGCAAGCACUCGGCGUUUGUUGGAGUGGAUCAACGGACUCGAGAAACUCUACCACAGUAUCAUGUACCCAAACCUAUAAGAGUACAGACAAGGAGGCGUCGUACACGUGAUUCAGCACAUUGCUCACUUGUGCCACAAAGGAAGAAAAAAAUGGAUCGUGGUUCUGGAGGUUAUGGCUAUCAGCUGCUUUUUCCACUUUCAGCCAGAAGUAGUUGUGUUACCUAAGAAGAAAAAAAUGAGCACGCCUCGUGGUUCUCGUGGAGGUCUUGGUUUCAUACGAGGUUUUGGUGCAGAAUUCAUUGAAUUUGCAAUGCUUCGAUAAACGCACUUAAAAAACCUACGACAACCACCUUAGCUCUUACGAACGUAAACAACAUGGAAAAAUCAAGGCGGCAAUUUAAGGGCAGUUUGUGAAGUCUGUUACCGCAAAUAGAUAAAACGUCGCCAAAGUCCAGUGAAAAGGAUGGGAGAAAAGCAUUGUUCUUUUACAGCAUGAUUAUGCAAUUUCCUCCGAUAAAGACAACAACAGCAUCGUUCCACACCUGGCACUGACAGACGACGCGACAUGUCAAAUGACAAUAAUACUGUCGCACACGAAGAAAAUAUAAUGAUGACUAUCAAAAUUUUAGGAAGCAAUCAACAUUACUGAUGGAGAUGAAAGAAGGAGAAAAUUUCAAGUGUGAUAUUACAUUUGAUGAGAUUGAUAUGAUAAUGGUACAUGUACCAGAGCCAACUGUCAAACAGCACUCCAGCCAGCAACAUUUUCCUCUUGUAUUCUUUGACUUGGAAUCAAAAGGAUUAGCUAGAGAUUCUCAUAUUACACAGCUGCCGUGUGUGGUAAAGAAAAGUUUUCCACCUAUACCUUUCCAAAAAUACCUAUAACAGCAAAAGACUCAGAAAUAACAGAAAUCGAAAAUGUUAAUGGAAAUAUGUUUAGCAAAAAUGGAAAAUGUAGAAGUCAAUCCUUGGAAAAUGGAUGCUCCUCUUAAUUUUGUUUCAAAAUUUCAAACUAAAGUAAUUCUGCAUUUACAAUAGCAAUGUAUGAAUGUUAACAGAUAUGAAUGUUUAUUGUAUACUAUACUCAAUUUAACAUGUUCUGUUUAUGAGAGAGAGAGAAGAGAGAGAGAGAGAGAGAGAGAGAGAGAGAGAGAGAGAGAGAGAGAGAGAGAUUGUUGCAAGAAUUGGAAAGUAACUGCAAAAAUUAUAAAUUAUGUGCAAACUGCAUCAGUAAUGAUGUACACGGUGGUGAUAUUGUUCUGAAUUUUGAUACAAAUUAAUGUACCAAAUGAAAUUAUCCUAUUAAAUUUCCAUUUUCAUUUCAAAUGAAAAUGAUUGAAUUUCAA
Ostrea edulis (European flat oyster) is the source of this 3285-nucleotide RNA transcript. It is a transcript of the gene named von Willebrand factor A domain-containing protein 5A-like, with no coding region annotated. NCBI's taxonomy places the organism in Eukaryota, Metazoa, Mollusca, Bivalvia, Ostreida, Ostreidae. The transcript has 20 exons. The record is from RefSeq and is a predicted model, not a curated record.